GGUGGGUUGGUGUGACUCCAGCCUGUAAAGCGUAUGCUACCCUUAAAAAAUAGGCAGUCGCGUAGAUCAAGGUAAACUGCGGUUGUCAUGUGUUGAGUGCCCUCCUACCAGGUACUGCUGCGGGGUCGUGGGUCCGACGAAGGUUGGAAUUUCGAUCUUGAUAAUGCAAUCUGCACUGCGUGAGGCCGGUAAACGGAACAGCGAAAAGGAUUCCAGCGGUAUGGUGCGUAGAUUCUGGGCGCGAGCAUGCGCUUCAGCCUCUGACUUGGUUCAAACGGUCCACUAUUUUUUUC
This is a non-coding RNA of Trichomonas vaginalis G3, 293 nucleotides long. The record is from Rfam. Lineage: Eukaryota; Parabasalia; Trichomonadida; Trichomonadidae.